CGCUCCCCCGACACCUGGGCUGGUCCUCCCGGAUCCACUCCUCUCCCACACUCCCUCACCUCCCCCCUCCCUCCCCCUGCCCACGCCCCACAUACCUGGGCUCCUGCCCCUUCCACCCCUCUCUGCUCCCUCCCUGCCCCCUUCCCUUCCUCCCCUCCCCUUUAUCUCACCUUCACCCCCUUUCCUCCUACACCCCUUCCGUGUCCCCACCCCCUGCCCUCAGUCCUCCUUCCUCCUCUUCCCCACAUCCCACCUCUCCUUUCCCCCUCCUUGUAGGCCCUCUUUCUCCUCAGCCCCCCUCCCCCCGCCUUUAGUCUCCUACCUCCCCUACAGCCUCCUGCCCCCGCCUCCUCACAGCCCCCUACUUACCCUACUGCCUCCCUCCUGGGGCCCUUUCCUCCCCAAGGGCCCCUCUGUUUUCUCCCAUUCCAGCCCCUGACCAGGCCCUGCUCCUCUGCUGGGGUCGGCCCCGCACAGUAAGCUGCCUGGGAGCCCUCAUUGCCUUCCUGGGCAACCCGGCCAAAGGCCCCCCGAGCAGCUGCAGCCCUGGAGGUCAGCCUCACCCUGGCAGACCGCAGGGGCCCCUCCUCACCGCCGACCUCUGCACCUUCACCCGUUUGCCUGGUGUCUGAGGAAGGGCCCGCAGGAAGAGCAUUCCUUUCCCAGGGUCUUCCUCAGGAGGGAUGAGAGGAAGCAAAAGCUUGGUCUGCAAACGGGCUGGUCCUCCCGACGGCCACAUCCGCAGGAAUGACCCUCAGAGGGGCUCCCCAACUGGCUGGGAGAUUCGUCCAGCUGGGCGCUCUGCUACACAGCCCCGUCAAGGGCAAACAGAUGACAAAACUGAGACACAAAAGAUGAAUCAGCUUGGCAGUGUUCACAGAGCCAGCGUGUGGAAAAGCCAGAAUCCAGACCCAGACCCGAACUGCAGCGUCCCGGCUCUUACCCCUAACCAGCCAGUGCCUCUCAGCUUAGUGCUCUUCCACCCGGCUUUUCUUUCUAAAAAUGACUCCACACCCACAGAAGGAGAGGGGGAUGAAGAAAUCUGCCAGGAGGGUGCCUCCCGCCAGUAUCUGAUGAAGGUAAGAGCUCUCCUUUGGAGUAAUAUGUUGUCUGUGCCAAGGAUGGAAUGAAAACAGAGUAUGAUGGCUCAUCUUGACUUUUUCCUUACUUACAAAUGGAGAGCCCCAAAGUCCAAAUCCUUGGACCAGCUAUCCCCCAACUUCCUCCUUAGGGGCAGAAGGUGAGAGCAAGCAAACAUUUGAGUUGAUUCAUGAAACUUUACUGGGCAAAGAAUAGAAAAUGUUGGUUUGGACCCUCCUUCACUAUCUGGGGCCCCUCCACAUGAGCUCCUUCACCGAUCCGUCUCCUUCAGCUGCUUCCCCACUGUGACUCUACCAGCCCCUCUCUAUCCCCCCUUCAAGCCUG
This 1425-nucleotide long non-coding RNA is filed under the name Homo sapiens (human). RNAcentral's name for it is "non-protein coding lnc-MRPL33-1:3". The record is from RNAcentral. Lineage: Eukaryota; Metazoa; Chordata; Mammalia; Primates; Hominidae.